RNAcentral lists this long non-coding RNA (1279 nucleotides) under Chrysemys picta bellii (western painted turtle). RNAcentral describes it as "lncRNA (ENSCPBG00000022863.1)". The record is from RNAcentral. Lineage: Eukaryota; Metazoa; Chordata; Testudines; Emydidae.
GAAUUACAUUUUAUAUUUCUAGUUUUAGAUACAAGAGUGGUACAUUUAUACAAAUCAGACGAUCAUACUCAGUAGAUUAUAAGCUUUGUAAUCAUACCUUACAAGAGACCUUUUGCAUGAAGCAUAUCUCAGUUACGUUACAUUCACUUAUUACCAUAUUUUCUCUAAAACUAUCCCAGUUACAUUAUAUUGGCUUAUUAUCAAGUUUUUAUAAAACCAUAUAGACUGCACAACGUCACACCCUUAAUAAUAAAAAUAAGCAGUCCCAUGUUAUGGAACUUCAGAUUUAUGAUCAAUAAUUGGAAUCCCAAACUUCUGGGUCAGUACUUAUGUAAUAAAAAUAUAAACAACUAUCAGAUGCAGGGCCAGAUGUUCAAAAUCUGGCAUCACAUUCUGCACUCCUAAUUGUUUGUAUCUGAUACUUUAACAACACCACACAAAUCUUGUGAUUCUGUCCAAAUAUGGUUCUCUUGCCUUUUCCUCUUGCAAUGUCCCUGGACUCUGUGUAAGGACUCUGAGCCAUAUCUCUCAUUUUUCACAUCCAUGAUCAUCCAAAUAUUUGGCUGUUUAUGAUCACCCUGAGGUUGCUUUCAAGAAUCAGACUGCUCACAUGGAUGCAUCAGUUUCCCAGUUAAUGCUAAAGUUCAUGUUGAGUAUCACUAUUGCACCUGCUUUCUGGUUGUUGCCGAUGUGGUGUUGGUUAUUUCCAGAAUUUUGGCCACUGUGUGAGCCAGAGUCUAACUUGGUGUCCAUGUUCUCAUGCAGCACAUUCUCGUUUUGUUUGUGUGCUGAAUUCCUUUCUUAAUUCAACAGCCAAAUGAAGACACUCCGAAGUAACAAUUUCUUCUUCCUAAUUCCUUUCUAUGUUUGACUUUCCAAGAUGGUAGAAUAUUGGUAUACAUGUGGCUCAAACAUUAGUAUGUCUUCAUGUUUGAUUUCAGACAGUACAGAAACCAAUCCUUCUCCUUUACUUUGGAUGCUAGUCCUGGGCAUGAUGUUAAACUGCAUCCUCCGCUGCCUUGAGGAUAUUUCUUGUUUGUGUGUCCUCCAGGAGACAUUUUCAGUUCCUUUCCUUUUGUCAGUUUAAUAAGAAGUGACAUGAUAAAAACUGGUGGUGAUCAAAAGGCUACAGUAUAUCAGUUUGGCAAGAGAUGGGAUUUUAUGGUAUAUAGUUGUACUUGGCUAUUCAUCAUGUGAUGCUUUCAGUAGAAUUCCCCCUCUCCACCCCACCAAAGAGCAGAAAGAACAGUCUCAAAUAAAGUAAGAUUUAUGUAAGACA